Molecule: ribosomal RNA, 253 nt
Filed under: uncultured bacterium
Lineage: Bacteria
Description: partial 16S ribosomal RNA
Rfam family: Bacterial small subunit ribosomal RNA
Source: RNAcentral
UACGGAGGGGGCAAGCGUUGUUCGGAUUUACUGGGCGUAAAGGGCGCGUAGGCGGUUGAUUAAGUUACUUGUGAAAUCUCUGAGCUUAACUCAGAGCGGCCAAGUAAUACUAUUUGACUAGAGUGCAGAAGGGGCAACUGGAAUUCUUGGUGUAGCGGUGAAAUGCGUAGAUAUCAAGAGGAACACCUGUGGCGAAGGCGGGUUGCUGGACUGACACUGACGCUGAGGCGCGAAAGCUAGGGGAGCGAAUGGG